UACCCAUCGAAAACCCCCUUCCCUUUCAUACACACCUCAUCUGAUAUCAAACCCCACCCCAUCCCAUAUCAAGCCACACCCCAUUGAAAAUUCCCUCCUCUUGUAGACACAUCUCAUCACACACCCCAUCAAAUUUACAACAAGCUCCACCGCACAACUCAUCCCCUUUGAAACAGAGCCAUCGCAGAACCUAUCUCUGCAAACCGCCGAACCCCAUUGCAUAACCCAUCUCUACAAACCUGAACCCAUCGCACAACCCAUCACUGAAACAGAGCCAUCACACCCCACAGCCAACCCCAAACGCCUAACCCUGUCGCAAACCACCAUCGCUCCAGUCAUCUCAAACAUCCAUCACCAAUCUGUCAAGUUUUCACAAAUCCUUCGAAGAGCCAAGAGGACUCGCAGAGGUACUACUGAGGCUUCAUCAUCUUGACCUGAUAGACAGCGUUUCAUAGCCUCAACGAGGAGACAGAGAGCGGCUCCCCAAGAUCACUUUGAGGAUACUACAGAGGUUGAAGAUGUAGCUCCUACUCAUGAUAAUAAUGUUGAUGCAAAGGUUGAAGAUGUAGUUGCUACUCAUAA
Prunus avium (sweet cherry) is the source of this 582-nucleotide non-coding RNA. Lineage: Eukaryota; Viridiplantae; Streptophyta; Magnoliopsida; Rosales; Rosaceae. The record is from RefSeq and is a predicted model, not a curated record.